CCAUAAAGCGAUUUUUUUUUUUUUUUCCGCAAAAGUGACUUCUGCCCCUCCAAUCCUCUUCGCUCUUUACGAUCCCUCCCUGCCUGCCGCUGCAUUCAAGUUUAUUUAUUUGCCUGCUGGCGUGAAGUUGAUGCUCCCGGGACUGGACCCUGCUUUAUCACAGAGGCGCUCCGGGAAGCUGAAGCAGAUUUCCGCACCUCGCCGCACCGCUCCGUCCCUCCCCCGGGCUGGGGAGGCCAACCAGGACCGGCAUCACCAGAGGAGUUUGCAGGCUUGAUUUUCCACUUCUCCGAGGUUUUGCUUUUCUCCACGCCCUCCCAUAAAAUAAUUUUUAUUUCCAUCUCCUUGGUUUCCACGCCGCAAUAUUUCUUGGAUUGGCCGUUCUUUUUUUUUUUUUUUUUUUUUUUCCCCCCCUUUUUUUUUUUUUUUUUUUUUUUUGCCUUUGCUGUUGCUCAGUCCUUGGUGCAUCCAACGCCCAGGAACAGGAAGGACGAGAAAACCACUCCACAAAGUCUCCUUCAAGACACUCUGCGCUGCAGAACAGGCUCCCCAACUCCCAUCAGCGCAGCAAACAAACUCCUCAGGGCUUUUGCUGCCCCUCCACCACCACCACCGCCACCACCACACACCCUUUUAUUUUAUUUUAUUUUAUUUUAUUUUAUAUUUUAUUUUAUUUUAUUUUUUUUAAUUUCCUCUUUGCUUUUGCAUUCGCGGAGGGCCGGGAAGGAAGACACAAACUUACCGCUCCGAGCUCCUCCGGCCCCCCUCGCCCCUCUCCCAGCCGGCGGUCUUUAAUCCGCCGCCGGGACCCCUCGCGGGCUCCCCCAGCGAGCGGAGCCCCGCGCCCCCCUCUCCCCGUCCCCUCGCUCCGCGGCCGCCCCCGAGCCGCGGGGCCACUCGCAGGGGGCGGUGGGGCGCGGCGCCGGGGGCCCGGUGUAUGUCGUGCCCCGGCCUCCCGGUGAAUGAGCACCGCCCGCCGCCUGCCGCCGCCGCCCGCCUCGGCCCCCACCUCCCCCUGCCGGGGUGAGGCUGCCUGAGGGUCCCCGCGGGUCGCGCAUCCCCGCCGGCUGCCGAGAGGAGCCCAUCGCUUCUCCCUCCUCCCUCUCUCCCGCCAGCCUCCCCCUCUCUGCCCCCUUCAUUUUAUUUUUAUUGCCACAUUUCCCCCUUUUUUUUUUUUUCCUUUUACCAUCCUCCCCACGCUCCCGUGCCUUCCACCCCCCUUCCCCUAAU
RNAcentral lists this long non-coding RNA (1230 nucleotides) under Anser brachyrhynchus (Pink-footed goose). Its description in RNAcentral is "lncRNA (ENSABRG00000013364.1)". Lineage: Eukaryota; Metazoa; Chordata; Aves; Anseriformes; Anatidae. The record is from RNAcentral.